UACGGAGGGUGCAAGCGUUGUUCGGAAUCAUUGGGCGUAAAGAGCGUGUAGGUGGUUAAAUAAGUCAGAUGUGAAAUACCUUGGCUCAACCAAGGAAGUGCAUCUGAAACUGUUUAGCUUGAGUACGGGAGGGGAAUGGCGGAAUUCCCAGUGUAGAGGUGAAAUUCAUAGAUAUUGGGAGGAACACCAGUGGCGAAGGCGGCCUUCUAGCCCGAUACUGACACUGAGACGCGAAAGCGUGGGGAGCAAACAGG
Molecule: ribosomal RNA, 254 nt
Filed under: uncultured bacterium
Lineage: Bacteria
Description: partial 16S ribosomal RNA
Rfam family: Bacterial small subunit ribosomal RNA
Source: RNAcentral